This 237-nucleotide unclassified non-coding RNA is filed under the name rhizosphere metagenome. RNAcentral's name for it is "partial ribosomal RNA internal transcribed spacer region". The record is from RNAcentral.
GUAGGUGAACCUGCGGAAGGAUCAUUAAAAGUUAAUUGGUUAUACUCCGGUAUAAAUCUAAUUAAACACCUCUGAGUACCUUACCUGUUGCUUCCGUGAGGCCUGACUCCAGCAGUGGUUCGCCGCCGCUGGAUACUUGCGGAAGGUAUACACUUAAACACUUUUGAAUCAAUGUCAUCUGUCUGAUAAUGUUUAUAACAAACGUUAAAACUUUCAACAACGGAUCUCUUGGUUCUC